This 752-nucleotide ribosomal RNA is filed under the name uncultured bacterium. Its description in RNAcentral is "bacterial SSU rRNA". It matches the Rfam family "Bacterial small subunit ribosomal RNA", at positions 28 to 774 of the family's 1533-position model. The record is from RNAcentral.
AUUGAACGCUGGCGGCGUGCCUAGCACAUGCAAGUCGAGCGGUAACAGGUGUAGCAAUACAUGCUGACGAGCGGCGGACGGGUGAGUAACGCUUGGGAAUCUGCCUGUUAGUGGGGGACAACCCGGGGAAACUCGGGCUAAUACCGCAUACGCACUACGGUGGAAAGCCGGGGACCGCAAGGCCUGGCGCUAACAGAUGAGCCCAAGUCGGAUUAGCUAGUUGGUAGGGUAACGGCCUACCAAGGCGACGAUCCGUAACUGGUCUGAGAGGACGACCAGUCACACCGGAACUGAGACACGGUCCGGACUCCUACGGGAGGCAGCAGUGGGGAAUAUUGGACAAUGGGCGAAAGCCUGAUCCAGCGACGCCGCGUGGGUGAAGAAGGCCUGCGGGUUGUAAAGCCCUUUCGGUGGGGAAGAAAAGCCUCGAGCUAACACCUCGGGGUCUUGACGUAACCCAUAGAAGAAGCACCGGCUAACUCUGUGCCAGCAGCCGCGGUAAUACAGAGGGUGCGAGCGUUAAUCGGAAUUACUGGGCGUAAAGCGCGCGUAGGCGGCUUGCAAGUCGGGUGUGAAAUCCCCAGGCUUAACCUGGGAACUGCAUUCGAGACUGCAUUGCUAGAGUAUGGGAGAGGGAAGUGGAAUUUCCGGUGUAGCGGUGAAAUGCGUAGAUAUCGGAAGGAACAUCAGUGGCGAAAGCGACUUCCUGGACCAAUACUGACGCUCGUGUGCGAAAGCGUGGGGAGCAAACA